CCGCGAGUGGAAGUGCGAUUGUGCGAGGAUCAGGCGCGUGAGAAACGAACCCCGACCUUGUGUUGGCGCGUGAGGGCGCGUGAGCAGGUCUAAUAGAAAGGAAUUGUGUUGAAAUACUAUUAAACGUACAUUCAAGGGGGAAAAUGAGUUCGAAACCAAAUUUAGAUGAUGCAGGCCAACCGAGGACGAGACCAGCG
Cucurbita moschata (crookneck pumpkin) is the source of this 197-nucleotide long non-coding RNA. RefSeq lists it as uncharacterized. The record is from RefSeq and is a predicted model, not a curated record. The transcript is spliced from 3 exons. NCBI's taxonomy places the organism in Eukaryota, Viridiplantae, Streptophyta, Magnoliopsida, Cucurbitales, Cucurbitaceae.